GGUUGGAUCCGAACUGGGAGGUAGGGAAGUGGAGCUGGAAACCAUGAGGUACAAGAUGGAGGCGCAGGCAAGUCACGAGAAAGCAAACGUGGCUGUGGUAACGGGUCUGGGUUAAGAUGUGGUCGUAGAGUUGGAGGGAAGGGGGAAUCACAGGGGGGGGGGGGGGGGCAGUGAGAGAGGCGCAUUUCAAGAAAAUUCAUUU
This is a long non-coding RNA of Amblyraja radiata (thorny skate), 202 nucleotides long. RefSeq lists it as uncharacterized. The transcript is spliced from 3 exons. Lineage: Eukaryota; Metazoa; Chordata; Chondrichthyes; Rajiformes; Rajidae. The record is from RefSeq and is a predicted model, not a curated record.